AGGGGAUUAGUUUAGAAAAAUCGUAGGGUUGUCGACUCUGAGAGACUUUAGGUAGUAUCCCCUU
RNAcentral lists this transfer RNA (64 nucleotides) under Margaritifera margaritifera (freshwater pearlshell mussel). Its description in RNAcentral is "tRNA-Asp". Lineage: Eukaryota; Metazoa; Mollusca; Bivalvia; Unionida; Margaritiferidae. The record is from RNAcentral.